UUACGGUCAAAUCACGCUGAAACACCGGUUCUCGUACGAUCACCGAAGUUAAGCAGCGUAGAGCCAGGUCAGUACUUAGAUUGGGGACCGCUUGGGAACACCUGGUACUGUAAG
Molecule: ribosomal RNA, 114 nt
Filed under: Acanthosepion pharaonis
Lineage: Eukaryota; Metazoa; Mollusca; Cephalopoda; Sepiida; Sepiidae
Source: RNAcentral